Molecule: ribosomal RNA, 253 nt
Filed under: uncultured bacterium
Lineage: Bacteria
Description: partial 16S ribosomal RNA
Rfam family: Bacterial small subunit ribosomal RNA
Source: RNAcentral
CACGGGGGGAGCAAGCGUUGUUCGGAAUCACUGGGCGUAAAGGGCGUCUAGGCGGUCAGGUAAGUGGGAUGUGAAAUGCCCCGGCUCACCCGGGGACCGGCAUCCCAUACUGCUUGGCUUGAGUACGGGAGAGGAUGUGGGAAUUCCUGGUGUAGCGGUGAAAUGCGUAGAUAUCAGGAGGAACACCGGUGGCGAAGGCGCACAUCUGGCCCGAUACUGACGCUGAGGCGCGAAAGCUAGGGGAGCAAACGGG